CACCUGGUAGCUGCCCCUCUACCAUCUCCUUGUGUAGGACUCCAGACCAACCAGACCACCACAGUAAACAACCCAAUAAGGUUGCGACGUAACUAGGAUAAGGGCAGGUCAGAGGUUACCUAAGGCUUCCAGUAGCUACAAAACAAGAUUUUUAGUGGGAGAUUGUAUGGCUACCGGUGAUUGAAGCACUUUGUCUCAUCAACUUCCUUUCCUUUCUGAAGGUUUACCCUGGGAGUUUUCAUGCAUCCUCCUUUCUCAGCCAUGUCAGCCUUUCUCUUCAGCGGUUCACUUUGCUACCUUUCUCCUCUGCACCCUUCCUUAAUCCUCUUUCAGGACUCAGCUCAACUCUUAGUCCUCAAAGAAUCAUCCUGUCUUUCCCUUGUGCCCUUGGUGGAUGCUGAACAUUCUUCUGUCAAAACCUAUAGUAUUUUAGAACAUUUAUUUGCUUACAUUUUUUACUUCCUCAAUUGACUGAAACUCCUUAGGGUUGGCACCAAUCCUGUGCUUCAAAUGCUUAGUACCAAGUUUAGAAAGUGACUUAAGUUGGAACACCUAAAAUAUUUUACUAGGAUUUCAACCUCACUAUUUUCAAAAGAAUUUGAGGCAGUUAAUUAUAAGUAUACUGACAGAAAUAAAAUAGAGUAUAUUUACUUCAUGUGUGUCUAUCUGGAUUCUAGUGAAGUCAAUAAAUUUUGUGCCUGCCUAUAUGGGGUAGUACACUAUCUACCUCCCAUUAACAUUUUUGAAAUUCCCUUUACUACCCAGCUACAGAAUGAACAGAAAUACAGAGUUAGGAGAAACCAAAUUCAGGAAAAGGAAAAAACAAAUGUGAACACUUUCAGAAGAUCUGAAAAAAAGUACCAGCCAUUUACUAAAAAGCUUGAACUGUACUCAAAAUAUUAAAACCCACUGGCUUCCCAGUAAUUCCUGAACUAACUAGUUAAACUUAUUACUUAUAAAAAAUAUGCUCCCCAAAGCCUAAGAAAACAGUGAGCUCAAGAAGUCAUGGAUGAAUUACAUUUCUUUUUCAAUCAAAGUUAAAAACUAAAAAGGGUGUUUCAGUUACCCUGAAAUUUUAAUGAACAGGAACACAUAAUUCCCUGAGUAUUUUAGAUAAGAUACUACUGAGCAUUUUAGAUACUGAUAUUGCUGAAUUCCAAAUAUACUUCAAAGAGCAUUUCUAAGGGAAUCACUUGAACUGCAAUUUUUUAAAAAGUAGCAGCAUAUAGAAUGAAGGAGCCAUAGUGAUCAGUUAAAUCUUACCUUUUAAAGAUAAAACCAAAAAUACUGGCUGUUGCUUGGUCACAGAUUUCUACACUAUUCUUCUAGAAAUGUUUUAUGUUUCAUCAUUUCUUUAUACUCUAUUAUCCCACAUACUAGAUUGCAUGUGUCUCAUCAGGUCAUUGUUCCAAGCACAGCUUCUAUUUCAGGCUUGUGACUGAUCCAUGGUUCAUUUUUGGAUCUCUGACUUAAUAUUCUUGAUCCUUAGCUUCCUUUUUAGGAAUGUAAUUACUAUUGCUUAGAUCUCAGUGAGGCUUAAUCAAUGUUUACAAAGUAGAGGACUAGCUAGAAAGCCAUCACCACAGAAACUUAGUAGUGUAGCUAAUAAAUCUCAAAAUUAUUGGCUUUGCUACUGACUCAGAAGGUGACUCAAUGCACCAUCAAAUCCAAAAGCACUAAGACAACAACUUAGAGUGAGCUAUGAAGUGCUCUGAAAGAAAAUUUUUUUAGGUUAUAGCCACAGUAUAAAUAGAUGCUAUUUCAAUGUAUUUUUUAAUUAACUGCAACAUUCAAAUGGAAAAUAACUAGCAGAGAAAACUGAGUUUGGUGUGAGUGAUUUACAGCCACCAAGAUCACACAAGUGACUGUGCAUAAGUGGAUACAAGAUCACAUGGCCCCAAAACCAGGACCCGUGGCUGCUUGGCCCCCAGGACUUCUAUCUUUGGCAUUUCCAUAUGAGGGCACCUGGGAACAAGCAGCAGGGCUGGAAAGCCAGACUGUUACUAAGUCUGGCAUCACAGUAACCCCACGCUCCUUCCCAACCCUGGUGUGCAAAUUUGCUCAUUAAGACUGACCAAAGCAGGAUCCUCUUAAUGGAACCCUCUCUGAUACCUUGAGCUGAAACAUGCAAAAGGAUCCAAGCAAUGACCUUGAGGCCUAGCCACUAGCUUCUCCAGCUCCCUUUGUGCCCUCUGAGCCUCUAAUGUUGGAAGUAGAUUUCUGGCCACAACAUGAAACACGGGAUACUGGGAGGAGCAGCAACGCUGAUUGAAAAGUAAGGAGCAGAAAAUUUACCGAACAAGAAUUCAAGAAGGAAAGUAGGGAGAGCAGAGAGAAUGUGGGAGGAUGGGGAGAAGGAGGAUGGAAGGAAGGAAAGAUAAAACAAAUUAACCUAGAAGUUCCAUCCAUCUCAAAGAUGAAUUACGUUAAACAUGGGGCUGAAGGAGCUCUGAGGAAUGGCCCCCGACCUACACUGGCCAGUGGGGUGGGGGGUGGGGAGGCACUGGUAUCAGCUGAGGAGCACAGUGCUCAGCUGCGUGGAACAGGACACCUGGAGACCCUCUGUUUCAGACACCAGGCUAUGUGAGCACCCAGGGCCACUUCUGGGGUUGGGGGUGACGGUGCCAAGCUACCAACAGGUGGUGUGAGUCUUUGAAAUCCUCCUUGCUCCCUUUAUACAAAACACCUUCUUGUCUUCCCUUCCCACCUGGGCAACCCCAGAUGGAAGAAGCAAGUGCAUGGAAGCCAGCUAAGUGUGAAUGUGUGUGUGUGGAAAGGAGGCGGGAACUAGCAUCUUUCCUGGGCAUGGGCUCAUUAGUGUUGAUUCUGGGGAGGCUAGAUGUUCAAGGAUCAAAACUCUUAUUGUAUGUGACAAAAAGUUUAUCUUCUGCCAUGUUCUUCACAUGCUUCCACGAAUCCUUAAGGUCUGCUCGCCUUCCCUGCACAUCCACACUGGCCGCCCUCUGUGCCCAGGAACAGCAUGGAGCCAGGCUGCGGCUCAGCUCUCAGGCAGUCACCUCUCGCUGGGGUGUGACCACCCUCCCAGGCUGCUGCCAGGCUUCUCAUUCUGCUUUCCUCCAGCCACCGACACAUGUCCAUCCCUGAAUCCCCCAGGGCACCACAAAGAUCAGAAGGCUUGGGAUGACAGAAAAGAAUAAGAAUAUAAAAAAUAAUAUUUUCCCCAAAACCUCCUUCAGGUUUCGUGGGUUCUGCAUUGCUUAGUAUUAAAAUUUUUUGCUUUCCUUGGCUCCUAAUACCAUCUGUGGAAUCAUGGGGGACAGAUCCAGAUCCCUUUAUCUAAAGAGAAGGCUUGGGGCCUCUGCAGAUUGCUGUCAACCUGACCACAUUCUGAUUUGGAUCUGCCAACAUCGAGAGAAGGAGAGAAUCAAGAAGUACAGAGAAGCUGAGAAGCAAGGGGAUGAGAAAGAUCUGGUAUGAAACAUCAGCACUGUGCUCUAUGACUCAGAAUCGUCUCCUAAUAGUAACAUUCUAUCUUUAUUUUAUGUAUAUAGCAACUUUUCUCCAUAAUAAGUUAUCUUCUUACAAGAAAAACUGAAGGACUCUGAGUGGAAAAUUUAACCAAGCUGCAAUUUUUGUAACAUGAGGCCAUACAGGAGGUUCUUUUACAGAAAGAUACUAGGCCUGCCUUAUUCCUAAAGGAAAAAGAACAUGGUGAAACUGCCUUGUUUAUUGAGACUGCUAAGAUAAUAAAUUGAUGUUAUGAGUCCCAUU
This is a long non-coding RNA of Manis pentadactyla (Chinese pangolin), 3732 nucleotides long. RefSeq lists it as uncharacterized. The record is from RefSeq and is a predicted model, not a curated record. Lineage: Eukaryota; Metazoa; Chordata; Mammalia; Pholidota; Manidae. The transcript is spliced from 2 exons.